Molecule: transfer RNA, 75 nt
Filed under: Patescibacteria group bacterium
Lineage: Bacteria
Description: tRNA-Arg
Rfam family: tRNA
About the family: Transfer RNA (tRNA) molecules are approximately 80 nucleotides in length. Their secondary structure includes four short double-helical elements and three loops (D, anti-codon, and T loops).
Source: RNAcentral
GCGCCUGUAGCUUAAUGGAUAAAGUAACGGUCUUCGGAACCGUAGAUGGGGGUUCGAUUCCCUCCAGGCGCACCA